CGGGUGACGAGCGGCGGACGGGUGAGUAAUGUCUGGGAAACUGCCUGAUGGAGGGGGAUAACUACUGGAAACGGUAGCUAAUACCGCAUAACGUCUACGGACCAAAGUGGGGGACCUUCGGGCCUCACGCCAUCAGAUGUGCCCAGAUGGGAUUAGCUAGUAGGUGGGGUAAUGGCUCACCUAGGCGACGAUCCCUAGCUGGUCUGAGAGGAUGACCAGCCACACUGGAACUGAGACACGGUCCAGACUCCUACGGGAGGCAGCAGUGGGGAAUAUUGCACAAUGGGCGCAAGCCUGAUGCAGCCAUGCCGCGUGUGUGAAGAAGGCCUUAGGGUUGUAAAGCACUUUCAGCGAGGAGGAAGGGUUCAGUGUUAAUAGCACUGUGCAUUGACGUUACUCGCAGAAGAAGCACCGGCUAACUCCGUGCCAGCAGCCGCGGUAAUACGGAGGGUGCAAGCGUUAAUCGGAAUUACUGGGCGUAAAGCGCACGCAGGCGGUUUGUUAAGUCAGAUGUGAAAUCCCCGCGCUUAACGUGGGAACUGCAUUUGAAACUGGCAAGCUAGAGUCUUGUAGAGGGGGGUAGAAUUCCAGGUGUAGCGGUGAAAUGCGUAGAGAUCUGGAGGAAUA
RNAcentral lists this ribosomal RNA (627 nucleotides) under Serratia proteamaculans. Its description in RNAcentral is "bacterial SSU rRNA". It matches the Rfam family "Bacterial small subunit ribosomal RNA", at positions 85 to 708 of the family's 1533-position model. The record is from RNAcentral. Lineage: Bacteria; Pseudomonadati; Pseudomonadota; Gammaproteobacteria; Enterobacterales; Yersiniaceae.